RNAcentral lists this ribosomal RNA (476 nucleotides) under uncultured bacterium. RNAcentral's name for it is "bacterial SSU rRNA". It matches the Rfam family "Bacterial small subunit ribosomal RNA", at positions 28 to 507 of the family's 1533-position model. The record is from RNAcentral.
GAUGAACGCUAGCGGAAGGCUUAAUACAUGCAAGUCGAGCGGUAGAUGGCUUCGGCCAUUGAGAGCGGCGCACGGGUGAGUAACGCGUACAUGACCUGCCUGUCAGAAGGGAAUAGCCCUGGGAAACUGGGAUUAAUACCCUAUGGUAUUGAUAUUAUGAAUGAUAUCAAUUAAAGUUGAGGCGCUGACAGAUGGAUGUGCGUCUGAUUAGCUAGUUGGUAGGGUAACGGCCUACCAAGGCGACGAUCAGUAGGGGGCGUGAGAGCGUGGUCCCCCACACGGGUACUGAGACACGGACCCGACUCCUACGGGAGGCAGCAGUAAGGAAUAUUGGUCAAUGCCCGCAAGGGUGAACCAGCCAUUCCGCGUGGAGGAUGAAGGCCCUAUGGGUUGUAAACUUCUUUUAGAUGGGAAGAAAAUGCUAGAUGUAUCUGGUACUGACGGUACCAUCAGAAUAAGCACCGGCUAACUCCGUG